GAUGAAGAACGCAGCGAAAUGCGAUACUUGGUGUGAAUUGCAGAAUCCCGCGAAUCAUCGAGUUUUUGAACGCAAGUUGCGCCCGAAGCCAUUCGGCCGAGGGCACGUCUGCCUGGGUGUCACGCAUCGUUGCCCCCCCAAACUCCGGUUCGGGCAGGGCGGAAGUUGGCCUCCCGUGCGUGCCUGCGCGCGCGGUUAGCCCAAAAGCGAGUCCUCGGCGACGAGCGCCACGACAAUCGGUGGUUUUUUUACCCUCGUUCCUCGUCGUGCGUGCCCCGUUGCCCGAACGCGCUCUUGCGACCCUUACGCGUCGCCUCGGCGGCGCUCCCAACGCGACCCCAGGUCAGGCGGGACUACCCGCUGAGUUUAAGCAUAUCAAUAAGCGGAGGA
This 390-nucleotide unclassified non-coding RNA is filed under the name soil metagenome. Its description in RNAcentral is "partial contains 5.8S ribosomal RNA, internal transcribed spacer 2, and large subunit ribosomal RNA". The stretch from base 1 to 122 matches the Rfam family "5.8S ribosomal RNA", at positions 35 to 154 of the family's 154-position model. The record is from RNAcentral.